Molecule: ribosomal RNA, 467 nt
Filed under: uncultured bacterium
Lineage: Bacteria
Description: bacterial SSU rRNA
Rfam family: Bacterial small subunit ribosomal RNA
Source: RNAcentral
GACGAACGCUGGCGGCGUGCCUAAUACAUGCAAGUAGAACGCUGAAGACUUUAGCUUGCUAAAGUUGGAAGAGUUGCGAACGGGUGAGUAACGCGUAGGUAACCUGCCUACUAGCGGGGGGUAACUAUUGGAAACGAUAGCUAAUACCGCAUAACAGCAUUUAACCCAUGUUAGAUGCUUGAAAGGAGCAAUUGCUUCACUAGUAGAUGGACCUGCGUUGUAUUAGCUAGUUGGUGAGGUAACGGCUCACCAAGGCGACGAUACAUAGCCGACCUGAGAGGGUGAUCGGCCACACUGGGACUGAGACACGGCCCAGACUCCUACGGGAGGCAGCAGUAGGGAAUCUUCGGCAAUGGGGGCAACCCUGACCGAGCAACGCCGCGUGAGUGAAGAAGGUUUUCGGAUCGUAAAGCUCUGUUGUAAGAGAAGAACGUGUGUGAGAGUGGAAAGUUCACACAGUGACGGUA